This 445-nucleotide ribosomal RNA is filed under the name uncultured bacterium. Its description in RNAcentral is "partial 16S ribosomal RNA". It matches the Rfam family "Bacterial small subunit ribosomal RNA", at positions 354 to 796 of the family's 1533-position model. The record is from RNAcentral.
GUGAGGAAUAUUGCGCAAUGGAGGCAACUCUGACGCAGCCAUGCCGCGUGCAGGAAGAAGGCGCUACGCGUUGUAAACUGCUUUUAACCGGGAAGAAACCCCAGGACGUGUCCUGGGUUGACGGUACCGGAGGAAUAAGCACCGGCUAACUUCGUGCCAGCAGCCGCGGUAAUACGAAGGGUGCAAGAGUUAUCCGGAUUCACUGGGUUUAAAGGGUGCGUAGGCGGAGCGUUAAGUCAGUGGUGAAAUCCUGCAGCUUAACUGUAGACUUGCUAUUGAUACUGGCGCUCUUGAGUGCGCUUGAAGUGGGCGGAAUGUGCCGUGUAGCGGUGAAAUGCUUAUAUAUGGCACAGAACACCAAUUGCGAAGGCAGCUCACUAAGGCGAUACUGACGCUGAGGCACGAAAGCGUGGGGAUCGAACAGGAUUAGAAACCCUGGUAGUCC